UGGGGAAUUUUGGACAAUGGGGGAAACCCUGAUCCAGCCAUCCCGCGUGUGCGAUGAAGGCCUUCGGGUUGUAAAGCACUUUUGGCAGGAAAGAAACGUCAUGGGUUAAUACCCCGUGAAACUGACGGUACCUGCAGAAUAAGCACCGGCUAACUACGUGCCAGCAGCCGCGGUAAUACGUAGGGUGCAAGCGUUAAUCGGAAUUAGUGGGCGUAAAGCGUGCGCAGGCGGUUCGGAAAGAAAGAUGUGAAAUCCCAGAGCUCAACUUUGGAACUGCAUUUUUAACUACCGGGCUAGAGUGUGGCAGAGGGGGGUGGAAUUUCGCGUGUAGCAGUGAAAUGCGAAGAUAUGCGGAGGAACACCGAUGGCGAAGGCAGCCUCCUGGGAUAAAACUGAAGAUCAUGCACGAAAGCGUGGGGAGCAAACAGG
Molecule: ribosomal RNA, 429 nt
Filed under: Acidobacteriota bacterium
Lineage: Bacteria; Pseudomonadati; Acidobacteriota
Description: Acidobacteria bacterium partial 16S ribosomal RNA
Rfam family: Bacterial small subunit ribosomal RNA
Source: RNAcentral